This 764-nucleotide ribosomal RNA is filed under the name Bacillus pumilus. RNAcentral describes it as "bacterial SSU rRNA". It matches the Rfam family "Bacterial small subunit ribosomal RNA", at positions 556 to 1320 of the family's 1533-position model. The record is from RNAcentral. Lineage: Bacteria; Bacillati; Bacillota; Bacilli; Caryophanales; Bacillaceae.
GGGCGUAGAGGGCUCGCAGGCGGUUUCUUAAGUCUGAUGUGAAAGCCCCCGGCUCAACCGGGGAGGGUCAUUGGAAACUGGGAAACUUGAGUGCAGAAGAGGAGAGUGGAAUUCCACGUGUAGCGGUGAAAUGCGUAGAGAUGUGGAGGAACACCAGUGGCGAAGGCGACUCUCUGGUCUGUAACUGACGCUGAGGAGCGAAAGCGUGGGGAGCGAACAGGAUUAGAUACCCUGGUAGUCCACGCCGUAAACGAUGAGUGCUAAGUGUUAGGGGGUUUCCGCCCCUUAGUGCUGCAGCUAACGCAUUAAGCACUCCGCCUGGGGAGUACGGUCGCAAGACUGAAACUCAAAGGAAUUGACGGGGGCCCGCACAAGCGGUGGAGCAUGUGGUUUAAUUCGAAGCAACGCGAAGAACCUUACCAGGUCUUGACAUCCUCUGACAACCCUAGAGAUAGGGCUUUCCCUUCGGGGACAGAGUGACAGGUGGUGCAUGGUUGUCGUCAGCUCGUGUCGUGAGAUGUUGGGUUAAGUCCCGCAACGAGCGCAACCCUUGAUCUUAGUUGCCAGCAUUCAGUUGGGCACUCUAAGGUGACUGCCGGUGACAAACCGGGAGGAAGGUGGGGAUGACGUCAAAUCAUCAUGCCCCUUAUGACCUGGGCUACACACGUGCUACAAUGGACAGAACAAAGGGCUGCAAGACCGCAGGGUUAGCCAAUCCCAUAAAUCUGUUCUCAGUUCGGAUCGCAGUCUGCAACUCGACUGCG